This 482-nucleotide ribosomal RNA is filed under the name uncultured bacterium. RNAcentral describes it as "partial 16S ribosomal RNA". It matches the Rfam family "Bacterial small subunit ribosomal RNA", at positions 30 to 507 of the family's 1533-position model. The record is from RNAcentral.
AUUGAACGCUGGCGGCAUGAUUUACACAUGCAAGUCGAACGGUAACAGGCCGCAAGGUGCUGACGAGUGGCGAACGGGUGAGUAAUGCAUCGGAACGUGCCCAGUCGUGGGGGAUAACUACUCGAAAGAGUAGCUAAUACCGCAUACGAUCUAUGGAUGAAAGCGGGGGACCGUAAGGCCUCGCGCGAUUGGAGCGGCCGAUGUCAGAUUAGGUAGUUGGUGGGGAAAAGGCUCACCAAGCCAACGAUCUGUAGCUGGUCUGAGAGGACGACCAGCCACACUGGGACUGAGACACGGCCCAGACUCCUACGGGAGGCAGCAGUGGGGAAUUUUGGACAAUGGGCGCAAGCCUGAUCCAGCAAUGCCGCGUGCAGGAAGAAGGCCUUCGGGUUGUAAACUGCUUUUGUACGGAACGAAACGGCUCUGGUUAAUACCCGGGGCUAAUGACGGUACCGUAAGAAUAAGCACCGGCUAACUACGUG